Molecule: unclassified non-coding RNA, 5397 nt
Filed under: Penaeus monodon (black tiger shrimp)
Lineage: Eukaryota; Metazoa; Arthropoda; Malacostraca; Decapoda; Penaeidae
Description: uncharacterized LOC119574499, transcript variant X2
Source: RNAcentral
CCUCUGACAGCAACAGUCUGUGCCGCGCCAGGGAACCGGCUGGACCGCACUCUGGCUGCCUCGCUCGCCCCGGCACCUUCUACAUGUGCGCUGCCUUCCGCUCGCGACCCCUCGGACUGCUCUCUUUCGGGGCUGCUGCUGCCUUUCUGAGGCCUUUCUGCGAGAGUCGGUCGGAGAUUUGCCUUUCACUCUACUCCCCCCCUUUUCUCUGGCGGAGUUAAGUUUAUAAUAACCCCCUUUUUGGUGUGUUUCCCCCCCCCCCACCUCCCCUCGUUUCGUUUCGAGUUGUUUGCCUUUCAUGUAUUGUUUUGCUUUUUUUAACGGCUGUGCGAAAAUUCCGGGAAGAUCGUUGGUGAAAAUCCGAAGUCUUCUAGACUUUUUACUCGACUGAUUAAAAAGAUUUCAAGAGUUACCACCACAAGAGCCGACUACAUGCUGAGCAAUCACUGAAAUCACUUGUCGCAGAAGACGUGAACAACUCUCUGCGGAAGAACACAGACGACGUGUUCCAUUAUGACGUCAUCCUGUGGGUUACGCCCCUUGUCUCUCCUGGCGAUACUAUUGGUCGCAGAUUUCACCAACUCCGCACCUACAAAUGGACACUUAAAGCCUGGUGCUCACGGCCGCUCACCCUCUCGACCGAGUUGGCACUUGCUGCUGGCACUCUGGCGACCCAAGGGAGAAGUGACGGCCGGGGACACGCAUCCCACCGGCGAGGUCCUGCUCACGCCCACUCAACCUCUGCCGGCAAAGGAGGCGCAGCCUACGCGAACAGCUCCUCCCGCCAGAGGAGUCCUGCCGACGAGAGUGGUUCUUCCCGCCAGAGAUGUGAUUCGGGAGAGAAUAGUCCUUCCGACUCGCGAGGACCUGCCCGAUGAGAGGGUUCUGCCGGUGAUGGAGCCUUUGCUCCCCCGGGGCGUUGCACCUGCCGGGACAGGGUUUUCCAGCGAGGGCAGUGAACCCCCGACAGAGCUACACCUUGCGAGUACAUCCUACGCACAUACACCCGAGCCCCCGCCGCACCCAGAGUCAUUCCCGCAUUUCGAAACUGAAGCCCUUCCUUCUCAUCCCGUGAGCGAGGCGGCGGGAAUCCCCGAGCACUUCCCGGGCCAAGAUAAACAAGAGGAGGACUUUCCUAUUGCUUCCCCUGUCACGGAGCGUGCGGAAACCGUGACCACCACCACCAGGAAAUUGUAUCUCCCGUUCACAGUCAGAACGUCUGUCCGAGAGGAACACGGGGACGGCCUCAUGGAAAACUUCGGCUCAUCCAGAGGAGACUUGACCAGUAACGUUGUUGUAUCAACAACAAUAUCGAACCACCAGUCCGUUCCUAUCACGCUACAGAGUUCCUCGAGAACAGUCGUGAGAACAAGCCAGAACAUCCCCAGCCUCACCACCGCGUACACGACGGCGACGUCCCCGUUGACCAUGCACACCACGACGACGGAUCAGGUGAUCACCAUGGGAAGCCCCGUGUAUAUGCACGGAACGCCUGGUAUCGAAGCCUCCCUCGGGACUCCGGUGUCGGUCUCGCCGACGAGAACCAGGAAAACCAAUAUGCUGAACCACAGGGCAGGGCUGCUUCCUGCCGGCCACCCUACGUCGCAGGGAGUAGAUGGGUCACGGGGCGAGGAAGCGAAGGGCCGUCAUGGCAACAAAGGAAGCAAAGUCUUGGAACUUGAGGGUCCAGUUGUCAUGGAAACCCUCGAUGGGUCUUCUCUUGUCCCGCUUGUCGGAAGAUCAAAAGAAGUUCUGACUCUGAAGGGAGAUGGAAAAGCCAUUUUGGCGAUAUUACAGGUCGCUCAGGGAUCCAACACGCUUGAGGAUCCCUUCCAUGUCACGUCAGUUAUUAGAAAACACGACCAACCUCUCCCGACGGACGGCAACACCAGUGAAACUUCACCUUCAGGUCUUCUGGAUCAGCAAACAACACAUCAAGAUCCUUUAAGAAACAAGAAUCUCGAAACCGAUUAUUUAGAUCAUCCCAAGCCGCUUAUCAUUCCAGACAGUCCUCAGAUUAGCGGCUUAUCGAACUUACUCGACAAAGAGUCUAAAUCAGACGACAGUCAAAAGUCCUUAAAUGCGUUAGAUGUUCACGAGAAAGCUCACCUGCUCCUCACCGUCCCGAAGAAGGCGGCCCCCUCUCCCGCAGCGCUUUCGACCACUGCCAAGCCCAUUUACGAGGAGAUCUCAGACACGCUUCAAGUAGACAGUAGCAUUGACGAUGUCGAAGACUUUGACAUUCUCACUAAACAUACAGAAAACACCGACGAAUUCUUAUCCCAGACGAACCAGUCCCACACGAAUCUAAUCGACGCAGAACUCCACAAUGGUCACGAGAUUCCUGCUUCGACAGACCCAACAGCGGCGACCUCACUCUCCACCGGCGAGGCCUCCUCCACUCCGCCCGCGCCCGAGCACCCGGCGAUGACAGCCACCGCUCAGCCGCUGACGCUUGAUGACCCUGAGACGACCACCAGCCGCCUCCUCACGACGUCUCCUCCUGAGGAAGAUGAGGAGGAGGAGCUCGAGAGAGAGAGCCACACCGAAGACUGGUCUGUCUUUGUAGCCAACGUGUCCGCACUCAGCAACAAGAGUCUGGCUCUAAAUGAGUCCGUGUUCCAGCCCCGCUCCGAGAUGAGCAUUGAAGAUCACCACAAGAUUGUUCUGAAGGAAAGAGGUAGUCUGAUGCUGCAGUUGAUGGAUCCCUCAGCCGACCCCUGCAGCGACUUCUACCAGUUCGCCUGCGGGAAGUGGAAUGGGAAGUUUCCUAUUAGGCAGGAUAAGGCGGUCGACAACACCUUCGAGCGCCUGAAGGAGGACCUGGAUGACGUGCUGAGGUCCCUGCUGGAGGAACCGCCUUCAGAGAACGACAACAACAUCACGAAGGCUGUCAAGACGCUGUACUCUGGCUGCAUGAACAUCGAGAGGAUCGAGACCCUUGGAGCCACGCCGCUGCUGGAACUCCUGGACGAGCUGGGCGGGUGGCCCGUGCUGCUGGGCGACGCCUGGAACGGGACCGACUACGACUGGGUGAGGCAGAUGGCUCAGCUGAGGAAUUACAAUAACGACAUCCUGAUUUCGGAAUGGGUCGCCGCUGACAUCACUAACUCUUCGAACCACAUCAUUCAGCUGGACCAGCCCAUGCUAGGCCUCCCGGGCAGAGAAUACUUCAUCAACCCCGGCGACUUCCAGUACCGCGAAGCCUACCUCAACCUCAUGCUCAGCGUCACCGAGAUCCUGGGAGCCUCCGUCGACGUCGCCCUCAGGGACAUGACGGAGGUCCUGCACUUCGAGAAGCAGCUGUCGAGGAUUCUCACGGCGGCGGAGGAGCGAAGGAACAUGUCGGCCAUCCACCGCAAAAUGACGCUGGAGGAACUCAGUAACGAAGUCCCGGGGAUCAGCUGGCAGGACUACAUCGACGCCAUCGGCUGGAGCAACAACCACACGGAGGAAAUCGUGGUGUUCGGCCUCGACUACUUCAAGAAACUCGUCCCGCUCCUCAAUGAUACCGACAGCAGAACGAUCAGCAACUACCUCCUGUGGCGCUUCGUGAAGAACCGGAUCAGCAACCUCGGAGACAAAUUCACGCGGGUCAAGCAAGACUACAUCAAGGUUCUCUUCGGCCGGAAAUCCCAGCCUGAGAGGUGGCGUUCGUGCGUGGAGUAUGUCACAGGCAACCUCGGCUACGUGGUCGGCGCCAUGUUUGUCCGCCGGUAUUUUCCUGAAGCUAGUAAGCAUGACACGGAUGAGAUGAUUUCCCUCAUCCGAUUCUCCUUCAAAAUGGCGGUAAAGGAAGCCUUGUGGAUGGAUCCGGACACGCGCAGUGUUGCCAUGGAAAAAGUGGACACGAUCGUCAAGAACGUCGGCUACCCUGAGUACCUCAUGAACGAUACUUACAUGGAUCAAGUUUAUUCUGAGCUGAGCUUUAGUCCUGAUGAACACUUCAAGAACGUCCUGAAGAUGUUGCAGUUCCAUGCUCGCACCAACCACAACCUCCUCGCUGCCCCCGUCAACCGGACAGCUUGGGUGACGACGCCGGCUGUGGUGAACGCCUAUUACAGCCGUUCCAAGAACAUGAUCGUGUUCCCCGCGGGCAUCCUGCAGCCGCCCUUCUACCAUCCUGCCUUCCCCAAGUCCCUUAACUACGGUGGCAUCGGCGUUGUCAUCGGCCACGAGAUCACGCACGGCUUCGACGAUCGCGGCCGACAGUUCGACAAGGACGGGAACCUAAACCAGUGGUGGAAGCCCGAAGACGUGUCCAAGUUCUACCAGAGGGCUUCGUGUAUGUUGGACCAAUAUGGUGAGUACAAAGUGGACGAAGUUGGCCUCAACAUCAACCCUGUCAACACCCUGGGCGAAAACAUUGCAGACAACGCCGGGAUCAGAUGCUUACCAGGCCUACAAGAAGUGGGCCGAGAAGAACGAGGAGCAGGUGACGGUGCCCUACGUCAACCUCACGCACGACCAGCUCUUCUUCCUCAACUUCGGCCAGAUUUGGUGCGAGAAUAACAGGCCCGAGGCGAUGCUCACGAAGAUCCGGAGCGGCCAGCAUUCGCCCAACAAGUACAGAGUGAUAGGAACACUUUCCAACUCGGAGGACUUCAGCAGAGCCUACAACUGCCCCGUUGGGUCCCGGAUGAACCCCGAGAGGAAGUGCAAAGUGUGGUGAGCUUGAAGCGCCAUGACGAAAAUAAAACUAGAGAGGAGAAAGAAUAUAUAUAUAUAUAUACUACCAGACUACUUUGCAACGAAAGAGUGCAAGCGAUUUGAGCGGCAGAGCAGAGAUUCUUUAGCACUGCAUUGCUUGACUGUGGUCGGCAGAGCAGUGAGGGACGUGCCGUUGGUAAGGAGAUGGGAAGAGGCCUCUCAUUGCUACACUUCAAGGACUGAAUGCCCAGGAUGCGUUUGUAUACAGACGUUAUACCGACACCCAUGAUACAAGACGCAAAUAUACGUAUUCAUACAACCCAUAGACACAGAGACACAUAAACACAUACAGAAACAGACACGAAUAUACCGCAUAUGGGAAAAUAAAAGUUUGAUAGAUUGAUAAGAAAGGCAAGCGAAUUGAGAGGAAUAGAAGAGAAGGAAUAGAUGAAGAAAAAGUAGUAAUUAAGGAGGCAAUGUCACCCUCACGUGGCCAGGGUGAGCGAUAAUGGCUGCAAAGUGCAUUUAUUUAUCUUUCUAUUUUUUAUAAUCUGUUGGUCAAAACCAACUUUCUUUUCUUGUAAUUUAGAUAAAAUACAAAUGCUCUUUUCAUAUAAUCGAUUUGAAUAGAAAUAUAUCACAUAGAGUUAAUAUAUAAAUCUGUUGUUGUCUGUAUGUUUGUUCACUCUGUGAGAUCAAUUUUACCCUUUAUAGUAAAUUAAAAUGUUGAUAUUUCUAAAAAAAAAA